UGGGGAAUAUUGCACAAUGGGGGAAACCCUGAUGCAGCCAUGCCGCGUGUGUGAAGAAGGCCUUCGGGUUGUAAAGCACUUUCAGUUGUGAGGAAAGUUUAGUAGUUAAUACCUGCUAGAUGUGACGUUAGCAACAGAAGAAGCACCGGCUAACUCCGUGCCAGCAGCCGCGGUAAUACGGAGGGUGCGAGCGUUAAUCGGAAUUACUGGGCGUAAAGCGCACGCAGGCGGUCUGUUAAGCUAGAUGUGAAAGCCCCGCGCUCAACGUGGGAGGGUCAUUUAGAACUGGCAGACUAGAGUCUUGGAGAGGGGAGUGGAAUUCCAGGUGUAGCGGUGAAAUGCGUAGAGAUCUGGAGGAACAUCAAUGGCGAAGGCAACUCCCUGGCCAAAGACUGACGCUCAUGUGCGAAAGUGUGGGUAGCGAACAGGAUUAGAUACCCUGGUAGUCCACACCGUAAACGCUGUCUACUAGCUGUUUGUGGAUUUAAUCCGUGAGUAGCGAAGCUAACGCGAUAAGUAGACCGCCUGGGA
Molecule: ribosomal RNA, 531 nt
Filed under: uncultured marine bacterium
Lineage: Bacteria
Description: bacterial SSU rRNA
Rfam family: Bacterial small subunit ribosomal RNA
Source: RNAcentral